UUCUUUAUCACCGAGUGCUAGCACUCACCGAUAAAGAGUUGAGUGGCGAACGGGUGAGUAACACGUGGGCAACCUGCCCAAAAGAGGGGGAUAACACUUGGAAACAGGUGCUAAUACCGCAUAACCAUAGUUACCGCAUGGUAACUAUGUAAAAGGUGGCUAUACUACCGCUUUUGGAUGGGCCCGCGGCGCAUUAGCUAGUUGGUAGGGUAAAGGCUUACCAAGGCAAUGAUGCGUAGCCGAAUUGAGAGGUUGAUCGGCCACAUUGGGACUGAGACACGGCCCAAACUCCUACGGGAGGCAGCAGUAGGGAAUCUUCCACAAUGGGCGAAAGCCUGAUGGAGCAACGCCGCGUGGGUGAAGAGGGUCUUCGGAUCGUAAAACCCUGUUGUUAGAGAAGAAAGUGCGUGAGAGUAACUGUUCACGUUUCGACGGUAUCUAACCAGAAAGCCACGGCUAACUACGUGCCAGCAGCCGCGGUAAUACGUAGGUGGCAAGCGUUAUCCGGAUUUAUUGGGCGUAAAGGGAACGCAGGCGGUCUUUUAAGUCUGAUGUGAAAGCCUUCGGCUUAACCGGAGUAGUGCAUUGGAAACUGGGAGACUUGAGUGCAGAAGAGGAGAGUGGAACUCCAUGUGUAGCGGUGAAAUGCGUAGAUAUAUGGAAGAACACCAGUGGCGAAAGCGGCUCUCUGGUCUGUAACUGACGCUGAGGUUCGAAAGCGUGGGUAGCAAACAGGAUUAGAUACCCUGGUAGUCCACGCCGUAAACGAUGAAUGCUAA
This 779-nucleotide ribosomal RNA is filed under the name uncultured bacterium. RNAcentral's name for it is "bacterial SSU rRNA". It matches the Rfam family "Bacterial small subunit ribosomal RNA", at positions 71 to 819 of the family's 1533-position model. The record is from RNAcentral.